CCCUUCGAUGUUCGGAGCUGCACGCGCGCUACACUGUGGGUGGCAGCAUGUUAGCUUGCCUCGCUCGCAAGAGUGGGGUAAUCGUUUGAAAAUCCCACGUGAUUGGGAUAGGGACUUGUAAUUAUUUCCCUUGAACGAGGAAUCCCUAGUAAGUGCAGGUCAUCAGCUUGCAUUGAUUACGUCCCUGCCCUUUGUACACACCGCCCGUCGCACCUACCGAUUGAAUGGUCCGGUGAAAUCUCGGGACGGCGGCUUGGUCGCUUGCGUCCGACUGCUGAAACUUGAUUAAACCAUAUCAUUUAGAGGAAGGUGAAGUCGUAACA
This 323-nucleotide ribosomal RNA is filed under the name uncultured eukaryote. RNAcentral's name for it is "partial 18S ribosomal RNA". It matches the Rfam family "Eukaryotic small subunit ribosomal RNA", at positions 1470 to 1796 of the family's 1831-position model. The record is from RNAcentral.